AUACGGAGGGGGCUAGCGUUGUUCGGAAUUACUGGGCGUAAAGCGCACGUAGGCGGAUUAAAAAGUUAGAGGUGAAAUCCCAGGGCUUAACCCUGGAACUGCCUUUAAAACUAGUAGUCUCGAGUUCGAGAGAGGUGAGUGGAAUUCCAAGUGUAGAGGUGAAAUUCGUAGAUAUUUGGAGGAACACCAGUGGCGAAGGCGGCUCACUGGCUCGAUACUGACGCUGAGGUGCGAAAGCGUGGGGAGCAAACAGGAUUAGAAACCCCAGUAGUCC
Molecule: ribosomal RNA, 274 nt
Filed under: uncultured bacterium
Lineage: Bacteria
Description: partial 16S ribosomal RNA
Rfam family: Bacterial small subunit ribosomal RNA
Source: RNAcentral